GGAGGUAUGGUUCAAGUGGUAGAGCCCCUGCCUAGCAAGCACGAGGUUCUAAGUUCAAAUCCUAGAACCACCC
This 73-nucleotide transfer RNA is filed under the name Dipodomys ordii (Ord's kangaroo rat). It matches the Rfam family "tRNA". From Rfam's summary of the family: Transfer RNA (tRNA) molecules are approximately 80 nucleotides in length. Their secondary structure includes four short double-helical elements and three loops (D, anti-codon, and T loops). Further hydrogen bonds mediate the characteristic L-shaped molecular structure. tRNAs have two regions of fundamental functional importance: the anti-codon, which is responsible for specific mRNA codon recognition, and the 3' end, to which the tRNAs corresponding amino acid is attached (by aminoacyl-tRNA synthetases). tRNAs cope with the degeneracy of the genetic code in two manners: having more than one tRNA (with a specific anti-codon) for a particular amino acid; and 'wobble' base-pairing, i.e. permitting non-standard base-pairing at the 3rd anti-codon position. Lineage: Eukaryota; Metazoa; Chordata; Mammalia; Rodentia; Heteromyidae. The record is from Rfam by way of RNAcentral.